GCGUCGAGCGGCGGACUGGGUGAGUAACGCGUGAGAAUCUGCCCAUCAGUGGGGGAUAACUCGGGGAAACUCGAGCUAAUACCGCAUACGUCCUACGGGACAAAGCAGGGGACCUUUUGGCCUUGCGCUGAUGGAUGAGCUCGCGUCGGAUUAGCUUGUUGGUGAGGUAAAGGCUCACCAAGGCGACGAUCCGUAGCUGGUCUGAGAGGAUGAUCAGCCACACCGGGACUGAGACACGGCCCGGACUCCUACGGGAGGCAGCAGUGGGGAAUCUUGGACAAUGGGGGCAACCCUGAUCCAGCCAUGCCGCGUGUGUGAAGAAGGCCUUCGGGUUGUAAAGCACUUUCAGUAGGGAGGAAGGCUUUGGGCUAAUACCCUGAAGUACUUGACGUUACCUACAGAAGAAGCACCGGCUAAUUUCGUGCCAGCAGCCGCGGUAAUACGAAAGGUGCAAGCGUUAAUCGGAAUUACUGGGCGUAAAGCGCGCGUAGGCGGUGUGUUAAGUCGGAUGUGAAAGCCCAGGGCUCAACCUUGGAAUUGCAUCCGAUACUGGCACGCUAGAGUGCAGUAGAGGGAGGUGGAAUUUCCGGUGUAGCGGUGAAAUGCGUAGAGAUCGGAAGGAACACCAGUGGCGAAGGCGGCCUCCUGGACUGACACUGACGCUGAGGUGCGAAAGCGUGGGGAGCAAACAGGAUUAGAUACCCUGGUAGUCCACGCCGUAAACGAUGUCUACUAGCCGUCGGGGUCCUUAGUGACUUUGGUGGCGCAGCUAACGCGAUAAGUAGACCGCCUGGGGAGUACGGCCGCAAGGUUAAAACUCAAAUGAAUUGACGGGGGCCCGCACAAGCGGUGGAGCAUGUGGUUUAAUUCGAUGCAACGCGAAGAACCUUACCAGGUCUUGACAUCCUCGGAAUUUGGCAGAGAUGCCUUAGUGCCUUCGGGAGCCGAGUGACAGGUGCUGCAUGGCCGUCGUCAGCUCGUGUCGUGAGAUGUGGGGUUAAGUCCCGUAACGAGCGCAACCCUUGUCCUUAGUUGCCAGCACUUCG
Molecule: ribosomal RNA, 1046 nt
Filed under: Alcanivorax sp. M81SD
Lineage: Bacteria; Pseudomonadati; Pseudomonadota; Gammaproteobacteria; Oceanospirillales; Alcanivoracaceae
Description: bacterial SSU rRNA
Rfam family: Bacterial small subunit ribosomal RNA
Source: RNAcentral